CACUAGGAAGCUAAUUAUUGGAUAAGCAUUGGCCUUUUAAGCCAAAGUUUGGUGCCUACCGACCACCUCUAGUGA
Molecule: transfer RNA, 75 nt
Filed under: Acheilognathus chankaensis (Khanka spiny bitterling)
Lineage: Eukaryota; Metazoa; Chordata; Actinopteri; Cypriniformes; Acheilognathidae
Also listed under: 1 other name
Description: Acanthorhodeus chankaensis (Khanka spiny bitterling) tRNA-Lys
Source: RNAcentral